RNAcentral lists this ribosomal RNA (399 nucleotides) under uncultured bacterium. Its description in RNAcentral is "bacterial SSU rRNA". It matches the Rfam family "Bacterial small subunit ribosomal RNA", at positions 362 to 775 of the family's 1533-position model. The record is from RNAcentral.
UAUUGGGCAAUGGGGGAAACCCUGACCCAGCAACGCCGCGUGAGGGAAGAAGGCUUUCGGGUUGUAAACCUCUGUCCUUGGGGACGAAGNAAGUGACGGUACCUGACUAAGAAGCCCCGGCUAACUACGUGCCAGCAGCCGCGGUAAUACGUAGGGGGCAAGCGUUAUCCGGAUUUACUGGGUGUAAAGGGAGCGUAGACGGCGAUGCAAGUCUGAAGUGAAAGGCGGGGGCCCAACCCCCGGACUGCUUUGGAAACUGUAUGGCUGGAGUGCAGGAGAGGUAAGUGGAAUUCCUAGUGUAGCGGUGAAAUGCGUAGAUAUUAGGAGGAACACCAGUGGCGAAGGCGGCUUACUGGACUGUAACUGACGUUGAGGCUCGAAAGCGUGGGGAGCAAACAG